Molecule: transfer RNA, 71 nt
Filed under: Marmota monax (woodchuck)
Lineage: Eukaryota; Metazoa; Chordata; Mammalia; Rodentia; Sciuridae
Rfam family: tRNA
About the family: Transfer RNA (tRNA) molecules are approximately 80 nucleotides in length. Their secondary structure includes four short double-helical elements and three loops (D, anti-codon, and T loops). Further hydrogen bonds mediate the characteristic L-shaped molecular structure. tRNAs have two regions of fundamental functional importance: the anti-codon, which is responsible for specific mRNA codon recognition, and the 3' end, to which the tRNAs corresponding amino acid is attached (by aminoacyl-tRNA synthetases). tRNAs cope with the degeneracy of the genetic code in two manners: having more than one tRNA (with a specific anti-codon) for a particular amino acid; and 'wobble' base-pairing, i.e. permitting non-standard base-pairing at the 3rd anti-codon position.
Source: Rfam by way of RNAcentral
GUGGUUGUGACUCAGUGGUAGAGCACUCGCCUAAUAUGUGUGAGGCCCUGGUUUCAAUUCUCAGCACUACA